UAGCCACGGUAAUACCAGCUCCCCGAGUGGUGGGGACGAUUAUUGGGCCUAAAGCGUCCGUAGCCGGCCUAGUAAGUCUCCCGUUAAAUCUGGCGGCAUAACCGUCAGGCUGCGGGAGAUACUGCUAGGCUAGGGGCGGAAGAGGCCGGCGGUACUCUUGGGGUAGGGUGAAAUCCUAUAAUCCCAGGAGGACCAUCAGUGGCGAAGGC
Molecule: ribosomal RNA, 209 nt
Filed under: uncultured archaeon
Lineage: Archaea
Description: partial 16S ribosomal RNA
Rfam family: Archaeal small subunit ribosomal RNA
Source: RNAcentral